Small nucleolar RNA from Nymphaea colorata (pocket water lily), 71 nucleotides. The record is from RefSeq and is a predicted model, not a curated record. NCBI's taxonomy places the organism in Eukaryota, Viridiplantae, Streptophyta, Magnoliopsida, Nymphaeales, Nymphaeaceae.
UUGAUGCCUAUGAUGGUUAUAAAUAUACUUUGAGUUUAUACCUUGAAAAGAAAAGCAUUCUGAGGCAUGUU